AACGCACCUUGCGCUCCUUGGUAUUCCGAGGAGCAUGCCUGUUUGAGUGUCAUUAAUAUAUAUAUCAACCCUCCUCUUUUUGAGUGGUUUGGAUGUGGGGGUUUGCUGGCCUCUUAGAGGGUUCAGCUCCCCUGAAAUGCAUCAGCGGAACAACCUGUUCAUUGGUGUGAUAACUAUCUACGCUAAUUUGAAUGUGAAGGGCAGUUCGGCUUUCUAACCGUCCUUGGACAAUUUCAUCAUUAAUGUGACCUCAAAUCAGGCAGGACUACCCGCUGAACUUAA
This 282-nucleotide unclassified non-coding RNA is filed under the name uncultured fungus. RNAcentral's name for it is "sequence contains ITS2". The stretch from base 1 to 52 matches the Rfam family "5.8S ribosomal RNA", at positions 103 to 154 of the family's 154-position model. Lineage: Eukaryota; Fungi. The record is from RNAcentral.